This 214-nucleotide ribosomal RNA is filed under the name Peltaster sp. P2.5. RNAcentral's name for it is "partial 28S ribosomal RNA". It matches the Rfam family "Eukaryotic large subunit ribosomal RNA", at positions 1 to 212 of the family's 3401-position model. The record is from RNAcentral. Lineage: Eukaryota; Fungi; Ascomycota; Dothideomycetes.
GUUGACCUCGGAUCGGGUAGGGAUACCCGCUGAACUUAAGCAUAUCAAUAAGCGGAGGAAAAGAAACCAACAGGGAUUGCCCUAGUAACGGCGAGUGAAGCGGCAACAGCUCAAAUUUGAAAUCUGGCGUCUUCGGCGUCCGAGUUGUAAUUUGUAGAGGAUGCUUCUGGGUUGUCACCGGUUUAAGUUCCUUGGAACAGGACGUCAUAGAGGG